RNAcentral lists this long non-coding RNA (433 nucleotides) under Solanum tuberosum (potato). Its description in RNAcentral is "long non-coding RNA (STUB_LNC005211)". Lineage: Eukaryota; Viridiplantae; Streptophyta; Magnoliopsida; Solanales; Solanaceae. The record is from RNAcentral.
UCCAGCCUUUCCAUUCUCCUCAUGUCUAACAAUCUCUUUAUCUCCAUUGGGUUUCGCGUCCAUGAGAUCCUCACGUGGUAUGAGAUCCUCACGUGCUUUUUCUUUGUCCUUAUUUUUCUCUCUCUCCUUAUCCUUCUCAAUCCUUUCUCUUUCUCUUUCUCUUUCUCUUUCUCGCUCUCGCUCCCGCUCCCGUUCCCGUUCCCGCUCUCGCUCUUUUUCCUUCUGCUGUUUUUCCUUCUCUCUUUCUCUAGCAGGCUCCCGUUCAUGCUCCGUUUCACGGUCAUUGAUAUCCUUAUCCUUUCCCCUAGGUUUAUCUUUCCGAAGCUUUUCCUUUUUUUCUUUUAUUAUUUUAUGUAGCUCAUAUACAUCCUUGGUGAUAAGAUCAAUGGGCUGUAUAAACUGGAAGUCUUCGUCCAUAUCUGUGUCAUCCUGC